GGAAACUCUGACGCAGUGACGCCGCGUGCAGGAAGUAAGGUUUUCGGAUUGUAAACUGCUUUAGACAGGGAAAGAAAAAGACAGUACCUGUAGAAUAAGCUCCGGCUAACUACGUGCC
This 118-nucleotide ribosomal RNA is filed under the name uncultured bacterium. RNAcentral's name for it is "partial 16S ribosomal RNA". It matches the Rfam family "Bacterial small subunit ribosomal RNA", at positions 376 to 509 of the family's 1533-position model. The record is from RNAcentral.